This 253-nucleotide ribosomal RNA is filed under the name uncultured bacterium. Its description in RNAcentral is "partial 16S ribosomal RNA". It matches the Rfam family "Bacterial small subunit ribosomal RNA", at positions 524 to 776 of the family's 1533-position model. The record is from RNAcentral.
UACGUAGGUGGCAAGCGUUAUCCGGAUUUACUGGGUGUAAAGGGUGCGUAGACGGAGAAACAAGUUGGUUGUGAAAUCCCUCGGCUCAACUGAGGAACUGCAACCAAAACUAUUUCCCUUGAGUGUCGGAGAGGAAAGUGGAAUUCCUAGUGUAGCGGUGAAAUGCGUAGAUAUUAGGAGGAACACCGGUGGCGAAGGCGACUUUCUGGACGAUAACUGACGUUGAGGCACGAAAGUGUGGGGAGCAAACAGG